UUGGCUGGCCCUAGUCUCACUUCUUCAACAUUGACAUCCUCAAAUUGUAGCUGGAUAGGUUGUUGAUGUUCUACUCUGACCUCCCUAAUUAACACCUCCAAUUCAUUCUCUUCUUGGCUACUAUCCCUAAUAUUGGCUUGUUGAGCAUUUACAACUCCAAUCACUUGACUCAAUUGAGCCUCCAACUUGCGAAUAGUUGCCUCUUGCCUUUCUAUGUGCAAUUGUUUCUCAUUGUUUUGUUCCAGAAGACAUUUUAGCAUAUCUUUAAUCUCCUUCAGGUCUGUAUUUCCAGGUUCUUUAUUCCUAUUAACUUCACAAGAAAAGCUAUAACCAACAUAGUAUGGAGUUAGGGAAAAAUAAAAAUAUAAUCACAACCAUGAAGGUGACCAUUGUUACUACCAUACACAUCACACAUGUCACGGCCCGGAUUUCCCACUAUCGGGAGUCGUGAUGGCGCCUACUAGUAGGAGCUAGGCGCCAAAUAUCAAAUACUUCUUUAGCGAACAUCAACAAUAUUAACGAUAUUAAAACACUUAACAAUAAAGCGGAAGUCUCAAAUAUAAUUUACUAAAAGAAAUGCGGAAGUAAACAAAUCCUUUACCCAAUACUGGUAUCACAUUACUCACAAACUUAUAGGAUUACUAAAUACAAUUGUCUGAAAGAAAUCAUAACGGUCUCUUUCAAUACAAGAGCUAACAAACUGAACAAGGAUAGAAGAGACUCUGGGCCUGCGGACGUUAGCAAGGCUACCUCAAGAGUCCCUGGACUGAAGGUCUGCUCCCGAUCUAAUACUGUUGCGGUCCGAAAGCUGCAUCCUGAUCUGUGCAAAAGAAAUGCACAAAGUGUAGCAUCAGCACAACCGAACCUAUGUGUUGGUAAGUGCCUGGCCUAAUACCGGCGAAAUAGUGACGAGGCUAGACAGGACCUACCACAAUUAACCUGUGAAAAUAUAAUAUACAAGUGCGAGACUGGUGAGUGCUUGGCCUAACCUCGGCGAGGUAGUGACGAGGCUAGACAGGACCUACCACAAAUAACCUAUAAAGAUAUAUGUGCAAUAACAGGAAAUACGCUAAUCUAAACAAUUAGAGGGGGAGGGGAGCAUGCUGUGGGGUACGAAAGUAUAAACAUAGAGAUCAUCGAUAAAUAAAUGAAAAUGAACAUUAACAACUGAUAAGGAAAACACAGAAAGUCUCUACAUACGAAAACAAUACACUCAGUCAACACUUUGUUGCGACGCGCAACCCGAUCCUCAACAACCAAUACCGUUGCGGCAUGUAACCCGAUCCUUAAUAUUCAAUACUGUUGCGGCGUGUAAACCGAUCCUCAAUAUUCAUCAACACCAUUGCGGUGUGCAACCCGAUCCUCAACAUUUUACACCAGGAACUCACCCAAACAACGACCGAAACUCAAGUGUGAGGGGAGUAACAACAAUUAGAAGAAAUCCCGGCAAGGGAAUACAACUAACAAUUCAAUUAUCCCGGCAAGGGAAAAUACAAUAAAUACUUACGUCCCGGCAAAGGAAUACUCACUACACAUUCCUCUUUUAAUCGCCUAUUUCUCGAGUAACAAUUUCUAGUCCAAACCAAUGCUCCAAAUGACAAACCAAUCACAAAAAUUCCUCAACUAUUCACUUUAUAUUAUAGUUGAUAACCCAAGCAAGAAAGAUGUAUCAUUAAAUCCGAAUCCAACACAUAUAAGACUCACAGUCAUGCUAGACUCAGGUGCAUAGAUAACUGUCACCAUGCCUAUACACCGUACUUCACAUUUAGAAAGUAGCGAAUAAUACCCGAAUCCUAAUCCCUCAAGCCAAAGUUAGAACAAACACUUACCUCGGUCCGAAAAUAGCAAUCAAA
This 1853-nucleotide long non-coding RNA is filed under the name Nicotiana benthamiana. RNAcentral describes it as "long non-coding RNA (NBEN_LNC023338)". The record is from RNAcentral. Lineage: Eukaryota; Viridiplantae; Streptophyta; Magnoliopsida; Solanales; Solanaceae.